Molecule: long non-coding RNA, 535 nt
Organism: Papaver somniferum (opium poppy)
Lineage: Eukaryota; Viridiplantae; Streptophyta; Magnoliopsida; Ranunculales; Papaveraceae
Exons: 2
Source: RefSeq, a predicted model, not a curated record
CACUUCGAAACUCUCAGCUACAAAUUCGAACGGUAAUCACCUCGAUACUGUUUCCAGUAACCUAUUUGAACCCACGGAGGGUGUGGAAAUUGAGGAAAAUCUUACACUGAUUAAUGACAUGGGUUCUGCUAGUAAGGUGAAUACAAAGGAUGCAAGACUGUUGCAGGGCCAGCCGUGAACUCUGAAGAAGCUGAAUACCUGGCCUUACUUGAAGCUGCAAAGUGGGUCAAAGCUAGAGGUUACAACAAAGUUUGCUUUAGAAGCGCCGCCAAAAAUCCUAUCUCAUUUCUCAAUAAAAGUAUGGACCAGAUUAGCUGGUUCAAUAACUCCAUUUUAGAAGAUUGUAUUAUUCUAAGUGAUUUAAGUUUCAUUAAAAUUGAGUUUGUUAGUAGAGAUUUUAAUGGUUGGGCUGAUAAAGCAGCCAAAUAUAGUAGAAGAUUUGAUGUUUCAGGUGAAUGGUUGGAUAGAAUUCCUCCAUUUGACCAAAAUAUGAUGUAAUAUUUCUACAUUUCAAUAUAUCUUUCUUUCCUAGCAA